Molecule: long non-coding RNA, 2281 nt
Organism: Oncorhynchus nerka (sockeye salmon)
Lineage: Eukaryota; Metazoa; Chordata; Actinopteri; Salmoniformes; Salmonidae
Exons: 2
Source: RefSeq, a predicted model, not a curated record
CGCUCCCCAUACAACUUGACAGAGCUUGAGAGGAUCUGCAGAGAAGAAUGGGAGAAACUGCCCAAAUACCGGUGUGCCAAGCUUGUAGCGUCAUACCCAAGACUUGAAGCUGUAAUCGCUGUGGCAAAGUACUGAGUAAAGGGUCUGAAUACUUAGGCAACACCACAACCACACUGAUCUGGAAUAGUACCACCAUAGUACUAGAAGAGGAAUUAUUGUUUGUGUAUAAAAACAUAAUACAAUCAAUAUGCAACAAGGCUAAUAUUCAGUCCAUUGAAUAAAACAUGAUCCCUAAGGUAAGUCUGAAGGCACUAGGCUUCAUUCCUUUACUAGGCUGUUAAUCCUUAUUGUGGCUUGUUUCUAAUGAUACCAGGAUUGGAGUCACUAGCAUCUAUAGGCUUUGACUGGAUAAAGGCUGUGAAUUGUGAAAGCUGAUGAAAAACAUGCAUGUCUUGUUUCACUGUAGUCCUACCUGUUCGUCAUAUCUCUCUAUUUUCACAGGGGUAAACUGGUCCACGUUGUACUGUGCAAAAGCACUAAAGAAACAGACACACAGGUACAAGGUUUAAUCAGUGCCAAUAAUGAAUGACUUCCUGGAGAAACAAAGACCUCAUCUUUCUAGUUGGUUAAUAAUGUACUCAUGCUGUUGAUAGUUUGACGUGAGCAGACCACGGGUCUAUAUUUCAUCACUUACUGUGCUGCACCUUCCCUGAGCAGAUUGUCAUUGUUGAGCAGCAAUCGUACAUCUGUGGGAAGUACAGAACCACACGUCAGAGUUCAGAAACCUACAGCACACAAACACACAGGAGGAUUCACAUCAAAUCACAUCCCUCUCUAUCAUACAUAAACAUUCCAGUCACAGGGCUCUCAUGGAGACAAAACUCAGACAGAAGGGCAACCAGUGGAGCACAAACCCCAUUGUAAAUACAAUCUAUUUUCCCUUUCAUACAUCAACUAUUAGCACAACACUGUACAUAGCCAAUAAUACCAUUUGAAAUUGUUUAAAUGUUGAGUGAAAUGUUUACUGUUCACUUUGACUGUUUAUUUCACUUGCUUUGGCAAUGUAUACAUGUUCCCAUGACAAUAAAGCCCCUGAGAGAGAGAGAACGAGUAAUGUUUACUAAUGUUUCCCUUUUGUUAAUUGUAUAUUCCAUUUGCUUUGGCAAUGUAAACAUACGUUUCCCAUGCCAAUGAGGCCCUUUAUAUUGAAUAGAGAGAGACCAAAAGAGAGAGAGACUGACAGCCUGUCUUCUCGAGAGCCAGGUCUCGCUAUGUCUCAGCCUCCAGUAUUUAUGCUGCAGUAGUUUGUGUUGGGGGGCUAGGGUCAGUUUGUUAUAUCUGGAGUACUACUCCUGUCCUAUUCGGUGUCCUGUGUGAAUUUAAGUGUGCUCUCUAAUUCUCUCUUUCUUUCUUUCUCCUCUCUCUCUCUCGGAGGACCUGAUCCCUAGGACCAUGUCUCAGGACUACCUGACAUGAUGACUCCUUGCUGUCCCCAGUCCACCUGGCCGUGCUGCUGCUCCAGUUUCAACUGUUCUGCCUUAUUUAUUGGACCAUGCAGGUCAUUUAUGAACAUUUGAACAUCUUGGCCAUGUUCUGUUAUAAUCUCCACCCGGCACAGCCAGAAGAGGACUGGCCACCCCACAUAGCCUGGUUCCUCUCUAGGUUUCUUCCUAGGUUUUGGCCUUUCUAGGGAGUUUUUCCUAGCCACCGUGCUUCUACACCUGCAUUGCUUGCUGUUUGGGGUUUUAGGCUGGGUUUCUGUACAGCACUUUGAGAUAUCAGCUGAUGUACGAAGGGCUAUGUAAAUACAUUUGAUUUGAUUUAUGUACACACUGCCCACAAAAUGAGCUGCACUUCCUAACCUUCUGCCAAAUGUAUAACCAGAGAGACACAUAUUUCCCUCAGAUUACACAGACCCACAAAGAACUUGAAAAAAAAUCCAAUUUUGAUAAACUCCCAUAUCUAUUGGGUGAAAUACCAGUGUGCCAUCACAGCAGCAAGAUGUGACCUGUUGCCACAAGGGCAACCAGUGAAGAACAAACACCAUUGUAAAUACAAUCCAUAUUUUUGUUAUUUAUUUUCCCUUUUGUACAUCAUUACAACACUGCACACACACAAUAUGACAUUUGAAAUGUCUUCAUUGUUUUGAUACUUCGUGAGUAAUGAUUCCUGUUAUUUUUUUAUUUCACUUUUGUUUAUUAUCCAUUUCACUUGCUUUGGCAAUGUAAACAUGUUUCCCCAUGCCAAUAAAGCCCAUUAAGGGUCGGACCCUUUUUUUCAA